GAACUCACAGUGAUCCUCCUGCCUCAGCUUCCCAAGUGCUGGGAUUACAGGCGUGAGCCACCACGCCUGGCUGUUAUGUUUAUUUUAAAACAUCCUCCAAGUGUUAACUUGCUGUUUUCUUUUUUCAGAUGUUUUGGAAGCAAAGUAUGAGAGCUUACGUGUACAAAAUGUGGAAAGAAAUGGAAAUAUUAUUUAUACUUACAAGGAUGAAAAGGGAAAUGUGGUCUUUGGAUUAUAUGAUUGCCAAACCAGACAAAAUGAGCGUCUGUAUACCUUUGAGAAAGACUUGCAAGUUGUCAGUUGCUCAGUCAACAAUGAGAGGACUUUGCUUGCUGCAAGUUUCAUUCAAUCCACUGAAGAAGGAAGAAGGAAUGAGCUUCAACCAGGUUCCAAAUGCUUAACUUUGCUGGUGGAAAUCUCCCCUGUUAACUAUGUGAAGGUCCUAAAGGCCGUGGAUAGCUGUGUUUGGGUACAGGUAAGUACCCUUGCUGGUUAACACUUACCACAUUGCUAAAGGGUAGGAACCCCUGGGAAAUGAUAUUUG
RNAcentral lists this long non-coding RNA (544 nucleotides) under Cavia porcellus (domestic guinea pig). RNAcentral's name for it is "lncRNA (ENSCPOG00000031636.1)". The record is from RNAcentral. Lineage: Eukaryota; Metazoa; Chordata; Mammalia; Rodentia; Caviidae.